This 253-nucleotide ribosomal RNA is filed under the name uncultured bacterium. RNAcentral describes it as "partial 16S ribosomal RNA". It matches the Rfam family "Bacterial small subunit ribosomal RNA", at positions 524 to 776 of the family's 1533-position model. The record is from RNAcentral.
UACAGAGGGCGCAAGCGUUGUUCGGAUUCAUUGGGCGUAAAGGGCGCGUAGGCGGCGCCGUAAGUCGGGUGUGAAAUUUCGGAGCUUAACUCCGAAACUGCAUUCCAUACUGCGGUGCUUGAGGACUGGAGAGGAGACUGGAAUUUACGGUGUAGCAGUGAAAUGCGUAGAGAUCGUAAGGAAGACCAGUGGCGAAGGCGGGUCUCUGGACCGUACCUGACACUGAGGCACGAAGGCCAGGGGAGCAAACGGG